CUGUUAGCUUUAGCUGCUAAGAUGCAAUGGAGGUAAAAAAUGGUUGGUUUGUGAAAAUGGUUGUGUGAUUGUGUGUGUGUGUGUGUGUGUGUGUGUGUGUGUGUGUGUGUGUGU
Molecule: long non-coding RNA, 114 nt
Organism: Alosa sapidissima (American shad)
Lineage: Eukaryota; Metazoa; Chordata; Actinopteri; Clupeiformes; Clupeidae
Exons: 2
Source: RefSeq, a predicted model, not a curated record